UCGAGAAUCUUCCACAAUGGACGAAAGUCUGAUGGAGCGACGCCGCGUGGUUGAUGAAGUCCUCGGGACGUAAAACCUUUAUGAGGGAGGAAGUAAUUGACGUUACCUCAUGAAUAAGGGGCUCCUAACUCUGUGCCAGCAGGAGCGGUAAUACAGAGGCCCCAAGCAUUAUCCGGAAUCACUGGGCGUAAAGGGUGUGUAGGCGGUCGUAUUAGUCUUUCGUGAAAGCUUCUUGGCUUAACCAAGAAAACGCGGGAGAAACGGUACGACUUAGAGGACGCGAGAGGUAUAUGGAACUCAUGGUGUAGGGGUGAAAUCCGUUGAUAUCAUGGGGAACACCAAAAGCGAAGGCAAUAUACUGGCGCGCUCCUGACGCUGAAACACGAAAGCGUGGGAAUCGAACGGGAUUAGAUACCCGUGUAGUC
RNAcentral lists this ribosomal RNA (425 nucleotides) under uncultured bacterium. Its description in RNAcentral is "bacterial SSU rRNA". It matches the Rfam family "Bacterial small subunit ribosomal RNA", at positions 355 to 795 of the family's 1533-position model. The record is from RNAcentral.